CCCAAGCCGGUGUCUGACUGUUUUCUCAGCUUCGAAUAUGAUCAGAGCCCUUCCAUGCUCAUAAAGUUUCCUUGGACUUAUAUUGUCUCAGGAAAAAUUCCAGUGGUGUUUGUACUUAAAAAAAAAAAAAAAUCUCAUAUUGCUAUAGAAUACAGCACUUGACAGAGGCCUGGGGACUAGCUAUAGUAUCCCCCUCUAUCUUUUCCCCUGUUUAUUUUACAGAGUUCUGAUAAGGGGAAGGCAAUUAGCCAAGGAUGCAGUGGGUCGGUGCUGGGAGCAGACCUGAAGCCUGGUAUCUUAAUGGCCAGUCCAGCGGUCCAUCCUCUAUGAGCACUGUGGGGCUCCAAGAUGUAGCUACGAAGUCACAGAGAACAGCUCUCUGUUUGAAGGCAGUUGAAAUUGCCCCUCCCCAGUCAUGGAAACAAGAAGCAUGCAGAAGUCUGGUCUUUCAAAGCAGAGGCCCUGACCCACCUGAGAACGGAGGAGGAUCCGCCUUUGUUAAUCUGGGGGCUUUUUUAGGCUACAUUGUUUCUAUUAUCACCUGUCAGUUCCUCUUUGGGGUAGGUAAUGCCUGAAAAAUUUUUUUAAAACCCUGAAGGCUUCAGAAAACAAAGUCAACCCAGACUAUAACAGCACAUUCUCGUGAUCUGGGGAGAACCUAGGUGGG
RNAcentral lists this long non-coding RNA (667 nucleotides) under Mustela putorius furo (domestic ferret). Its description in RNAcentral is "lncRNA (ENSMPUG00000031959.1)". Lineage: Eukaryota; Metazoa; Chordata; Mammalia; Carnivora; Mustelidae. The record is from RNAcentral.